Molecule: transfer RNA, 74 nt
Filed under: Methanobacteriota archaeon
Lineage: Archaea; Methanobacteriati; Methanobacteriota
Description: Euryarchaeota archaeon tRNA-Lys
Rfam family: tRNA
About the family: Transfer RNA (tRNA) molecules are approximately 80 nucleotides in length. Their secondary structure includes four short double-helical elements and three loops (D, anti-codon, and T loops). Further hydrogen bonds mediate the characteristic L-shaped molecular structure. tRNAs have two regions of fundamental functional importance: the anti-codon, which is responsible for specific mRNA codon recognition, and the 3' end, to which the tRNAs corresponding amino acid is attached (by aminoacyl-tRNA synthetases). tRNAs cope with the degeneracy of the genetic code in two manners: having more than one tRNA (with a specific anti-codon) for a particular amino acid; and 'wobble' base-pairing, i.e. permitting non-standard base-pairing at the 3rd anti-codon position.
Source: RNAcentral
GGGCCCGUAGCUUAGCUUGGUAGAGCGAUCGGCUCUUAACCGAUAGGUCAAGGGUUCGAAUCCCUUCGGGCCCG